AGCAAGGGGAAAAUUUAUUUCUAACUACACACAAGGAAAUGUUUUGUUGUGCACUCACUAGCCUUUAAUUAUGUUUUAUUCUGUAUCCAAAUAUAUUUAAACAGUAUUAUUACAUUCUUCUUUAGUUUAUGCAGAACUUGUAUUUGAAUGACAGAAAAUCUGAGUUUCAAUAUUAAUAAUUUGAAGAAGAUAACUCUUAAGUCAUGAGUUCUACAAAGUUCAAACAAGACAGGGAUCUACAUGACAUUUAUAAAAGUUGAAGCAUACAACUUAAACUGAAGAUUUGUUUUUUUUUUUUGAUAAAUAACAUCAAUUCCAUGAUAAAUUUCUAAUAAUAAUUGGUUCAUGAUAAAUUUCUAAUAUGACUUAUCACAGCACUUAAAUUUCUAAUUAAAAAAAGUAGAAUUUCUUAAAAUUAUCACAGCACUUAAAUGGAGAAAAACAAAACCACUUAAGAAAGCAUAGUGAACACUGAUUGCUAAUUUUUUAUCUGGCAAAUACUUCAGUAUUAGAUUUGGUUCAUGAUAAAUUUCUAAUAAUAAUUGAUUCCUCAUCUAUAAAGCACUUCAAAUUAGAUUAAAUUUAGUAGACCUUGUAAACCAUGUUCAGAUGAACAUCCUUUUACUAAAAGAUGACUAUUGUUCAAGAUUUUAUUCAUAGUUACAUACGAAUUUUUUUGUUGGUUUUAUCCAUAUAAAGUUUUGUACAAGCAAAAGUUCAAAAUAACCAAAUACUAGCUUAUGACUUAAAUCCUAUGAAGUAUGAACUAUGAUCAACAUACCAAGAAAUAAGUGCAUAUUAUGAAGUGAAAUAAUAGACCGACCUCCACAAGCUAAAAUACAAUCCAUUUCACAUAAAAAAUUACUUAAUUUUAUAGUCAGAAACCAGAAACUAGGGUUUAUAUCCAAGAAAACCAACUCUAAUCUUGAUUUUUUACUUAGAAUGUAUGGAAGCAUUUUCUGCCUUCAUUAGGAAUCAGUUGAAACUCUAACCUCGGAUUUGCUUCUAUUCUCAACCCACUUCUACUCCCACCAAGAGGGGAAAAAUCCUCUGGAGGAACACAAAGCAGCAAUGUUUUGUAAACUGGGCCAGCAAUUUAACUGGAAGGGGGGGUCUAGUUCCAGUUUCAUGGUUUAAUCAGAUGGUUCAGUCAGAAAAUUUGCCAGACAUGGGUGGUUUUAAUUUAUAUGUACUGGGUCAUGUAUGGUCCAACCAGCGGUUCUGGUGUACUUUUCAGAAUAGUGCAUGGCAGUAGCAUUAUGAAGCACUUGGGAAAGAAAAACACGCAAACAACUUCAAUGAUAAAGUAUUGGAACCACAACCAACCAUUUAAAUGGCCACUAUUAAGCUGGUUUCCGAGUGCCUGCCAGAGAAGAAUGCCAAGGAGUGUCUAUGGAUUCAUUGUCAAAUCUAACAAGUAGUAUCUGGUUUUUCCCAUCAUGCACCCCCUUUAAAGUAGGUUUCAGAACUUCCAACACUAGGCAUGAUAAAAUAGACCUUCGAUGGGUACUCACUUGGAAAUCCUGUGAUAGGGAUCGAUCAGAACCCUUAAAGACUUAUUCUAGGAAGAAGAAAGCCUUACAAGAGGUACUUGAGAUUUGGACUGUAUUGGGCACAAGGGGUAUUUUAUUCAUUGAAUAGUAAAAUAGGAUAGUACAGUCAAUGAUAGAGUCUGAUUUUUCAAGUUAUAGUUUGUUUGUGUUUAAAGUUUUUGAGUCAUUGAAUAGUAAAAUAAAAGUUAUUGAGUCUUCUUUGAAUUGAAAUAGGAUAGUAGACUUUUGUUUUUGAGUCCUACUAGGAUUCUUAUGAGUCUAACAGUUUUGAAUCCUAGGAUUCUUAUGAGUCCAGAGUCUUUAAUAUGUAUGGACGUUUUACACAAAGAUCAAUGAAGUUUAUUUAGUUUUCUUGAGCUUAUGCUAAUUAUGGUGAUUGAUUCCCAUACCCUAUAGUGAUUUUAGGUACCCCAUCAGUGAUUCCAGAUAUUCUCUCUCUUCUUUCUCUCUUUAUUUUCUUUCUUAUUCCUUCAAGAAGCCAAUACAGUCGUAAAUUUCUGAUCAAGAAAGAUCAUUCAACCUUCUCAAAGGGCAGAAAUUGAGUUGGUCCUACAUCAUCCUGAUUCCUUGGGUAUAGGAGUCUUGAUAAACAGCAAGAGAGAGACCCAAGUGCAGUACUGGAACCCUACAGGGAAGUGUGUUUUGCGAUCAGUUCAGUUGUGAGAAAAUCAUGGUAGAUAUGGAUCUCCAAAGGUUUUUCCAGAUGGGACUAGAGAAAAUGCUGUGUAGUUCCCUAGUGUUCUUUAAAAUGCAAAUUAACUACUCUGACGUUGUCUGUCCCACUCAUGGGUAAACAUUUUUAUCAUGAAUAAAAGGAAAGAAACUACUAUGUUGCUAAAACAUCGUCUAUUGGCCUUGUUGACGUUUGGUGUGGCUAAGUAAUUCAACAGCCUCAAUUACACCACCAAAACUGCUACAUUUAUCUUUUGGUAUGAAUGUUGUAACAGUCACAAUUACACCACAAAAAACUGCUACAUUUAUCUUUUGAGAUGAAUGUUGUAACAGUCACAAUUACACCACCAAAAACUGCUACACUUAUUGUGACUUCUCCACUUCCCUAUUUUCUUCUAUAAAAGGGGUGCCUCCUAGGGGUAGUAUGUGUAUGGAGAGAGAGCAUUAGAAGGCUGAAAAGAUUGGGAGAACUUCACCAUCUUCUGACAAGAUCUGCUCYUACUCUGUUUGGAUCGUUCUUCUUCUUCUCUGCUGCCAUUAAGGGUUUCUCUCACACCAGCUCAAAGCAGUCAUCUAUGCCCUUUUUUGAGUGCUCCAAGGCUUUGUUAAAGGCAUUUCGGCACUAGUAAGGUGGUCAGUUUGUAGUUCUCUCAUCAAGGACAUGAAUAAACAUGUUUUCUUUCUUCUCCCGUGGAUGUAGGUCUCUUUGACCGAACCACGUAAAUCUGGUGCCAUCUUUACCUUUCUUUUGCUCUUAUUAUUUGCUUUAUAAUUCACAUUUUCCUCAAUUAUUUUUUCUUGUUUGCCAUACUAAUUAAUCGGUAAUUCAGAGUUUAAUCCUAACAGGCCUGAUUCAGCUAAAACACUAAGCAAGAAUUGCUUCGUUUAAUUUUGAAGAGAUCCACUUCCUACUUUCUAGUAAGGAAAUCUUUGAUUUUUUCUUUCUGCUCUCCUGGUCUGUCGAAUAUAAGGCUUUCUAGAACUCUAAAUUUGACCAAUGUUGUCUCUUGUCAGUGGAUCAAUCAAAUGUUAUGGUGCCAGAGACAACACAAGUACACAACAACUAUAUGCUAAGAUUGAAGAACGAAGGUGAAUCAAGGUCCAGAGUCAUGGAAUUACUCAGUCCACACUAUCGAUAAGAAUA
Nelumbo nucifera (sacred lotus) is the source of this 3369-nucleotide non-coding RNA. The record is from RefSeq and is a predicted model, not a curated record. Lineage: Eukaryota; Viridiplantae; Streptophyta; Magnoliopsida; Proteales; Nelumbonaceae.